This 524-nucleotide long non-coding RNA is filed under the name Anas platyrhynchos platyrhynchos (common mallard). RNAcentral's name for it is "lncRNA (ENSAPLG00000027600.1)". The record is from RNAcentral. Lineage: Eukaryota; Metazoa; Chordata; Aves; Anseriformes; Anatidae.
GAGCUGUAGAAAUGUCUUUCUAGCAUGAGCUCAGGAGUAGCUGGAAGAAGCUGCAGCUAAAGAGAGCCUGGGAUAUGCACAGCUGUUCUUAUUUCCAGCUGUUUUUUGUAUGUUCCAUGGGUGGAGCAGAUGUUGAUAGCUGUUCCCUUAUAAAAUAUGUAAUACUGUACUUUAUGACCUAAUAUAUUUUCCAGUCCCGGGGCCUGAUCCAGAGUCCACUUAGCUCUCUGAGCAGGCUUCCAGCAGCACCAGUAGAGCUCUAUCAAAUUCUUAAUGAACCAAUGCAAGUGAGAGAUUUAAAAGAACUGCUGGAGCAAACGAGACAACGUGGGGCUCGGGAUCCCAGCUCGGUGCAGCUGGCUGAUCUGUAUCAAGUUGGACCCAAACUUUCAUCACAUAUUAAGGCAAACUCCCAUCAUAUGCAGUGGGCUAAAUUCUCUUCUCAUUUACAUGGAAAUGGGAGGGUUGAUGGAUAUUGUAUGCAGGUCACAAUGUCAGAUUUCCAAUCAGAUCAUCAAAAUUAA